RNAcentral lists this ribosomal RNA (432 nucleotides) under uncultured bacterium. RNAcentral's name for it is "partial 16S ribosomal RNA". It matches the Rfam family "Bacterial small subunit ribosomal RNA", at positions 29 to 507 of the family's 1533-position model. The record is from RNAcentral.
AGCGAACGCUGGCGGCAGGCCAACACAUGCAAGUCGAACGAACUCUUCGGAGUUAGUGGCGGACGGGUGAGUAACACGUGGGAACGUGCCUUUAGGUUCGGAAUAACUCAGGGAAACUUGUGCUAAUACCGAAUGUGCCCUUCGGGGGAAAGAUUUAUCGCCUUUAGAGCGGCCCGCGUCUGAUUAGCUAGUUGGUGAGGUAAAGGCUCACCAAGGCGACGAUCAGUAGCUGGUCUGAGAGGAUGAUCAGCCACAUUGGGACUGAGACACGGCCCAAACUCCUACGGGAGGCAGCAGUGGGGAAUCUUGCGCAAUGGGCGAAAGCCUGACGCAGCCAUGCCGCGUGAAUGAUGAAGGUCUUAGGAUUGUAAAAUUCUUUCACCGGGGACGAUAAUGACGGUACCCGGAGAAGAAGCCCCGGCUAACUUCGUG